AGAGAGAGAGAGAGAGAGAGAGAGAGAGAGAGAGAGAGAGAGAGAGAGAGGCAUUCUACUUGAAGACACGGAAGGAAGAGGAUGGAGCAGGAGGGUUGGGAACGAGCCCCUCCAGUGGUGUGCUGUUAACUUCACGUCCUGGGUAUCCAUCCCCCUGAUGUGAGGGACGGAGGACGCGAAGACGUUCCACGGUCUGGAGACUCGCCCCCAAAAGGUGGGCCGGUGUUGGCUGGAGCGGGAACGCGGCACUUCCACCGAGUCACCACCGGAUGACACCGUGGAGCUUGCUGAUGUGUGUGGCAGCACAGGACAUCCAGGAGAGGGCGGAAUACUCUAAAUAAGGCCGUAUCUGGGCCUUGUAGAGCAAGAGCCUCCCUCUCAUGUCCAGCAAGCACUUCCUCCCACACACAAGGUCACUCUUAUCCAACUCACACAGCCUCCCCCUGACCCCCUCACACCCUUCAACACCCCCUCACACCCCGUCAACACCCCCUGACACCCUCACACCAGGCCGAA
Molecule: long non-coding RNA, 516 nt
Organism: Scylla paramamosain (green mud crab)
Lineage: Eukaryota; Metazoa; Arthropoda; Malacostraca; Decapoda; Portunidae
Exons: 3
Source: RefSeq, a predicted model, not a curated record